Molecule: ribosomal RNA, 834 nt
Filed under: uncultured fungus
Lineage: Eukaryota; Fungi
Description: eukaryotic LSU rRNA
Rfam family: Eukaryotic large subunit ribosomal RNA
Source: RNAcentral
UGCCUCAGUAACGGCGAGUGAAGCGGCAAAAGCUCAAAUUUAAAAUCUGGCACUCUCAGUGUCCGAGUUGUACUUUGGAGAGGCAUCUUCUGGAGGGACCCAGCCUAUGUGCCUUGGAACAGGACGUCAUAGAGGGUGAGAAUCCCGUCCUUGGCUGGAUGUUCCCUCCUGUAUGUAGUGUCUUCUACGAGUCGAGUUGUUUGGGAAUGCAGCUCAAAAUGGGUGGUAAAUUUCAUCUAAAGCUAAAUAUUGGCGAGAGACCGAUAGCGCACAAGUAGAGUGAUCGAAAGAUGAAAAGCACUUUGAAAAUAGAGUCAAACAGUACGUGAAAUUGUUGAAAGGGAAGCGCUUGAGACCAGAGUCAACCUUUGGCAAACAAUUGUCCUUCUGGGCUGUGCACUUGUCAUUGGCUGGGCCAGCAUCGGUUGGGACGGCAGGAUAAAGGCCUUGGGAAUGUGACUCCCUUGUGGAGUGUUAUAGCCCUUGGUGCCAUGCUGUCAGCCCCGACCGUGGACCGCGCUUAGGCUCGGAUGCUGGCUUAAUGGUCUUCAGCGACCCGUCUUGAAACACGGACCAAGGAGUCUAACGUCUAUGCGAGUGUUUGGGCUUCAAACCCUUACGCGUAAUGAAAGUAAACGGAGGUGGGAAUCCUGCGAGGGAUGCACCAUCGACCGAUCCUGAUGUCUUCGGAUGGAUUUGAGUAGGAGCAUAGCUGUUGGGACCCGAAAGAUGGUGAACUAUGCCUGAAUAGGGUGAAGCCAGAGGAAACUCUGGUGGAGGCUCGCAGCGGUUCUGACGUGCAAAUCGAUCGUCAAAUUUGGGUAUAGGGGCGAA